CGACCGGCGCACGGGUGAGUAACACGUAUCCAACCUGCCGUCUACUCUUGGACAGCCUUCUGAAAGGAAGAUUAAUACAAGAUGGCAUAGUUCUUCCGCAUGGUAGAACUAUUAAAGAAUUUCGGUCAUCGAUGGGGAUGCGUUCCAUUAGGUUGUUGGCGGGGUAACGGCCCACCAAGCCUUCGAUGGAUAGGGGUUCUGAGAGGAAGGUCCCCCACAUUGGAACUGAGACACGGUCCAA
RNAcentral lists this ribosomal RNA (241 nucleotides) under uncultured bacterium. RNAcentral describes it as "partial 16S ribosomal RNA". It matches the Rfam family "Bacterial small subunit ribosomal RNA", at positions 92 to 334 of the family's 1533-position model. The record is from RNAcentral.